This 497-nucleotide ribosomal RNA is filed under the name uncultured bacterium. RNAcentral's name for it is "partial 16S ribosomal RNA". It matches the Rfam family "Bacterial small subunit ribosomal RNA", at positions 28 to 507 of the family's 1533-position model. The record is from RNAcentral.
GAUGAACGCUGGCGGCGUGCCUAAUACAUGCUAGUCGAGCGAACAGAUAAGGAGCUUGCUCCUUUGACGUUAGCGGCGGACGGGUGAGUAACACGUGGGUAACCUACCUAUAAGACUGGAAUAACUCCGGGAAACCGGGGCUAAUGCCGGAUAACAUUUAGAACCGCAUGGUUCUAAAGUGAAAGAUGGUUUUGCUAUCACUUAUAGAUGGACCCGCGCCGUAUUAGCUAGUUGGUAAGGUAACGGCUUACCAAGGCAACGAUACGUAGCCGACCUGAGAGGGUGAUCGGCCACACUGGAACUGAGACACGGUCCAGACUCCUACGGGAGGCAGCAGUAGGGAAUCUUCCGCAAUGGGCGAAAGCCUGACGGAGCAACGCCGCGUGAGUGAUGAAGGUCUUCGGAUCGUAAAACUCUGUUAUUAGGGAAGAACAAAUGUGUAAGUAACUGUGCACGUCUUGACGGUACCUAAUCAGAAAGCCACGGCUAACUACGUG